This 375-nucleotide long non-coding RNA is filed under the name Gadus morhua (Atlantic cod). Its description in RNAcentral is "lncRNA (ENSGMOG00000028071.1)". Lineage: Eukaryota; Metazoa; Chordata; Actinopteri; Gadiformes; Gadidae. The record is from RNAcentral.
AUGAUCUUCUCAGUGAUCUCUGCAGCGUGGUCGGUGGGAGUAGAUGUGGCCGAGCCGUUGAACCAGGCUCUAUCGGUGUCAGGACGCGUUGGUGGAGGAGGUGGGCUGAUGGAGGAGAGCCGACGGAGCCAUGGUGGACGAGAGCCGAUGGAGCCAUGGUGGACGAGAGCCGACGGCGCCAUGGUGGACGAGAGCCGACGGAGCCAUGGUGGACGAGGGCCGACGGAGGAGCCGUGGUGGAGGUCCUGCCUUAAGAAUGAUGUCGGGACCCGAUGGCCUUGGCUGAUGGAGGAACUGCAUCUGGAGGACGACCAUGAAUCUACCUGCCAACAACCAGGACUCUGUGAUGGAGGGGGGCUGAUAGAGCCGUGCUGA